GUUGAUUAUGGCUCAAUCGGUAGCGCACUCGCCUAGCAUGCGUGGGGUGCUGGGUUUGACCCUCAGCACCACA
RNAcentral lists this transfer RNA (73 nucleotides) under Marmota monax (woodchuck). Its description in RNAcentral is "tRNA.Ala". The record is from RNAcentral. Lineage: Eukaryota; Metazoa; Chordata; Mammalia; Rodentia; Sciuridae.